Polypterus senegalus (gray bichir) is the source of this 73-nucleotide non-coding RNA. NCBI's taxonomy places the organism in Eukaryota, Metazoa, Chordata, Cladistia, Polypteriformes, Polypteridae. The record is from the annotation of a RefSeq genome assembly.
GCCUUCUUAGUGCAGCAGGUAGUGCGUCAGUCUCAUAAUUUAAAGGUCCUGAGUUCGAUCCUCAGAGAGGGCA